This 549-nucleotide ribosomal RNA is filed under the name Craterellus strigosus. RNAcentral's name for it is "eukaryotic LSU rRNA". It matches the Rfam family "Eukaryotic large subunit ribosomal RNA", at positions 124 to 651 of the family's 3401-position model. The record is from RNAcentral. Lineage: Eukaryota; Fungi; Basidiomycota; Agaricomycetes; Cantharellales; Hydnaceae.
GCAGUGAUUCACUGUCCGAGUUGUAGAUUGAAGAGAAUGUCAUCCACACUGGACCACGUCUAAAUUGUAAUGAUCCACAGUCCUUUGAUGGAGUAUCAGAGAGGGUAAUAAUCCCGUCUUUAACGUGGACCGCCAGUGUUUAUGUGAUGCACUCUCUCAGAGUCGAGUAGUUUGGGAAUGCUGCUCUAAUGGGAGGUAAACUCCUUCUAAAGCUAAAUAUGGGCGAGAGACCGAUAGCGAACAAGUACCGUGAGGGAAAGAUGAAAAGAACUCUGAAAAGAGAGUCAAACAGAACGUGAAAUUGCUGAAAGGGAAGCGUUUGGAGUCAGAUGCGUCUUCAUGCAGUACAGCUCAGUGGCAGAGGCUGGGAGUGGUUACUUGAAGACGGGCCAGCACUCACGUAGACCAUUGGAAAAGGGGUCAUGGAAUGUAGCUCAAUUGCUGAGUGAUUAUAGCCUUGAUUCAUAUACAGUGUGUCUUAUGUGAGAUUGACAGCACGAGUCUUGACUCAGUGCUUGACUGACUGGCAUAAUGGCUCUAAGCGACCCG